Molecule: transfer RNA, 71 nt
Filed under: Marmota monax (woodchuck)
Lineage: Eukaryota; Metazoa; Chordata; Mammalia; Rodentia; Sciuridae
Description: tRNA.Thr
Source: RNAcentral
GGGGUUGUGGCUCAGCGGUAGAGCACUCAUCUAGUACAUUCGAGGCCCUGGGUUCCAUCCUCAGCACCACA